This 63-nucleotide transfer RNA is filed under the name Cordylochernes scorpioides. RNAcentral describes it as "tRNA-OTHER". The record is from RNAcentral. Lineage: Eukaryota; Metazoa; Arthropoda; Arachnida; Pseudoscorpiones; Chernetidae.
CCAUCGGUGGUUCAGUGGUAGAAUGCUCGCCUGCCUCGCCUGGUUCGAUUCCCGGCCGAUGCA